RNAcentral lists this ribosomal RNA (482 nucleotides) under uncultured bacterium. RNAcentral describes it as "partial 16S ribosomal RNA". It matches the Rfam family "Bacterial small subunit ribosomal RNA", at positions 30 to 507 of the family's 1533-position model. The record is from RNAcentral.
AUUGAACGCUGGCGGCAUGCCUUACACAUGCAAGUCGAACGGUAACGGGCCUUCGGGUGCCGACGAGUGGCGAACGGGUGAGUAAUACAUCGGAACGUGCCCGACCGUGGGGGAUAACGAAGCGAAAGCUUUGCUAAUACCGCAUACGAUCUACGGAUGAAAGCAGGGGACCGCAAGGCCUUGCGCGGACGGAGCGGCCGAUGGCAGAUUAGGUAGGUGGGGGGAUAAAAGCUUACCAAGCCGACGAUCUGUAGCUGGUCUGAGAGGACGAUCAGCCACACUGGGACUGAGACACGGCCCAGACUCCUACGGGAGGCAGCAGUGGGGAAUUUUGGACAAUGGGCGCAAGCCUGAUCCAGCCAUGCCGCGUGCAGGAUGAAGGCCUUCGGGUUGUAAACUGCUUUUGUACGGAACGAAAAGCCUUCUUUUAAUACAGGAGGGUCAUGACGGUACCGUAAGAAUAAGCACCGGCUAACUACGUG